GCGGGGGUUGCCGAGCCAGGUUAAAGGCGCCAGUCGCGGGAUCUGGUCUCGAAGGAGUUCGGGGGUUCAAAUCCCCUCCCCCGCACCA
RNAcentral lists this transfer RNA (88 nucleotides) under Hadesarchaea archaeon YNP_N21. Its description in RNAcentral is "tRNA-Pro". It matches the Rfam family "tRNA". From Rfam's summary of the family: Transfer RNA (tRNA) molecules are approximately 80 nucleotides in length. Their secondary structure includes four short double-helical elements and three loops (D, anti-codon, and T loops). The record is from RNAcentral. Lineage: Archaea; Methanobacteriati; Hadarchaeota (SeqCode); Hadarchaeia (SeqCode).